RNAcentral lists this ribosomal RNA (520 nucleotides) under uncultured bacterium. Its description in RNAcentral is "bacterial SSU rRNA". It matches the Rfam family "Archaeal small subunit ribosomal RNA", at positions 345 to 866 of the family's 1478-position model. The record is from RNAcentral.
AACCUCCGCAAUGUGAGAAAUCGCGACGGGGGGAUCCCAAGUGCCAUUCUUAACGGGAUGGCUUUUCAUUAGUGUAAAAAGCUUUUGGAAUAAGAGCUGGGCAAGACCGGUGCCAGCCGCCGCGGUAACACCGGCAGCUCUAGUGGUAGCAAUUUUUAUUGGGCCUAAAGCGUCCGUAGCCGGUUUAAUAAGUCUCUGGUGAAAUCCUGCAGCUUAACUGUGGGAAUUGCUGGAGAUACUAUUAGACUUGAGAUCGGGAGAGGUUAGAGGUACUCCCAGGGUAGAGGUGAAAUUCUGUAAUCCUGGGAGGACCGCCUGUUGCGAAGGCGUCUAACUGGAACGAUUCUGACGGUGAGGGACGAAAGUUAGGGGCGCGAACCGGAUUAGAUACCCGGGUAGUCCUAACUGUAAACGAUGCGGACUUGGUGUUGGGGUGGCUUUGAGCUGCUCCAGUGCCGAAGGGAAGCUGUUAAGUCCGCCGCCUGGGAAGUACGGUCGCAAGACUGAAACUUAAGGAAUU